Molecule: transfer RNA, 74 nt
Filed under: Loxodonta africana (African savanna elephant)
Lineage: Eukaryota; Metazoa; Chordata; Mammalia; Proboscidea; Elephantidae
Rfam family: tRNA
About the family: Transfer RNA (tRNA) molecules are approximately 80 nucleotides in length. Their secondary structure includes four short double-helical elements and three loops (D, anti-codon, and T loops).
Source: Rfam by way of RNAcentral
ACCUGGGUGGUGUAAAUGGUUAACACAUUUGGUUGCCAUCCAAAAGGUUGGAGGUUCAAAUCCACCCACAGGUG